CACAUUGGCAUCCAAAGAAACAACAGGUGGUGAUUUCAGAUUUCCCAGGUGAAGACUGUAAUCAGUUGAUCAAACUGCAAUUGCUUUUUUACUCUGGGACUGAAGCUUGUUGCUGUUGUGAAGAUGAUCAGCAGUUACCCAAGGUCAAAAGAAGAAUCUCAUCAGAAUUAUUUCUUCCUCGUCUGCUCUUUGGACUUGAUGCCCAGAGGCAGAAAACUUUUUUUGUCCAAUGUUUAUCUGAAAUGAUGUUUCAAGCAUAUCAGGAAGACCACUCAUUUUCCAAAGGUCACAUUCAGAAUGAGUGAACCCAUACUACAUUCUUUUCAAGGCAGUUUCCACUAAGGGAAAUGCCCCAGUAUGUGAUAGUGAUGUUUGGAGUCAGACAGAGAUUCCAUACCUACUUGUUAUCAUUUGGGUCUAGGAUUCUCUUAGAAAUACAGUAAUAAAGAUAACAGGUACAAUAACA
This 466-nucleotide long non-coding RNA is filed under the name Anas platyrhynchos platyrhynchos (common mallard). RNAcentral's name for it is "lncRNA (ENSAPLG00000019778.1)". Lineage: Eukaryota; Metazoa; Chordata; Aves; Anseriformes; Anatidae. The record is from RNAcentral.